This 63-nucleotide transfer RNA is filed under the name Pareas stanleyi (Stanley's slug snake). RNAcentral describes it as "tRNA-His". Lineage: Eukaryota; Metazoa; Chordata; Lepidosauria; Squamata; Pareidae. The record is from RNAcentral.
GUAUCGUAAUUUAAAAAAAAUGUCAAGCUGUGACCUUGAAAUUAGACGCACGCCUCGUACACC